CCUAUCAAACACUCAUUCUUGCGCAGCUUCUAUUGAUCUAUCUCUGUUUACAUUUUCUUCUUCAACGGUGCUCUUCUAGUAUAUAGUAAUUGAGAAAAGCAACUGGUAAGCAAAUUAGCAUCGAAUUUUGAGAUGAAUUAGUGGAAGCAAUAUUUCGCCGGCCGACGAUUUGCUACCUUGGUGCGGUAGAUGUUCAAUUUGUAUAUAUUUAAUUGAAGCUUCGCUAUCUGGUUGGCGAAAUUCUUCUAGUUUUUGCCCAACUCGUUCCCUAGAAGCGAAAGUGAGUGUGAUGUUCUUUCUACUUUCUGUCCUUCAUUGCUUCUCUACAUUGUUGGACUACACUGUGUGAAUCAUGGAUGUGUUGAACGUUGAUGAUCUCUACAGACCUGUAAUGAUUUGCGAGAAUGAUCGCAACUCUUUAUGAACAUCUAAGGGACUGAGUUCUUCACACUUGAGAUAUUCCAUUUUUUACGGAGUUUUGUUAAUUGUAAAUUAAUGUUUCGUACUAUGGCUUUGAAUCUGUUGUUUUCACAGUUCGUGCUUCGUUGUAUAGUGCAGAGCUGCGUUGAUCAAAGCUAGAUGAUGUUCCCCUCGCUAUCCAGAGCUUUUGUUGAGCUUUUGGACGUCGGGGAACCACAUUAUUUUAAUGUUUCAUUGUAGUUAUGAGGUUUGAAUUAGGAGUUCAACUUGUAUAAGUGUUAUUAAGUUCUCUUGAUACAUAAAUGUUAAGUAUCAUACUGAUGAAUCAAAAUGCAAGACUCUUUUACUAAUUGGAAUAGUAUUAAACCUCUUC
Ipomoea nil (Japanese morning glory) is the source of this 793-nucleotide long non-coding RNA. RefSeq lists it as uncharacterized. Lineage: Eukaryota; Viridiplantae; Streptophyta; Magnoliopsida; Solanales; Convolvulaceae. The transcript has 2 exons. The record is from RefSeq and is a predicted model, not a curated record.